GCCUGGGUGGCUCAGUCGGUUGAGCGUCUGACUUCAGCUCAGGUCAUGAUCUCACAGCUCGUGAGUUCGAGCCCCGCGUCGGGCC
RNAcentral lists this transfer RNA (85 nucleotides) under Felis catus (domestic cat). It matches the Rfam family "tRNA". Rfam says of the family: Transfer RNA (tRNA) molecules are approximately 80 nucleotides in length. Their secondary structure includes four short double-helical elements and three loops (D, anti-codon, and T loops). Further hydrogen bonds mediate the characteristic L-shaped molecular structure. tRNAs have two regions of fundamental functional importance: the anti-codon, which is responsible for specific mRNA codon recognition, and the 3' end, to which the tRNAs corresponding amino acid is attached (by aminoacyl-tRNA synthetases). tRNAs cope with the degeneracy of the genetic code in two manners: having more than one tRNA (with a specific anti-codon) for a particular amino acid; and 'wobble' base-pairing, i.e. permitting non-standard base-pairing at the 3rd anti-codon position. Lineage: Eukaryota; Metazoa; Chordata; Mammalia; Carnivora; Felidae. The record is from Rfam by way of RNAcentral.